GACGUACGCUGGCGGCGUGCUUAACACAUGCAAGUCGAACGGAAAGGCCCUGCUUUUGUGGGGUGCUCGAGUGGCGAACGGGUGAGUAACACGUGAGUAACCUGCCCUUGACUUUGGGAUAACUUCAGGAAACCGGGGCUAAUACCGGAUAGGAGCUCCUGCUGCAUGGUGGGGGUUGGAAAGUUUCGGCGGUUGGGGAUGGACUCGCGGCUUAUCAGCUUGUUGGUGGGGUAGUGGCUUACCAAGGCUUUGACGGGUAGCCGGCCUGAGAGGGUGACCGGCCACAUUGGGACUGAGAUACGGCCCAGACUCCUACGGGAGGCAGCAGUGGGGAAUAUUGCACAAUGGGCGGAAGCCUGAUGCAGCAACGCCGCGUGCGGGAUGACGGCCUUCGGGUUGUAAACCGCUUUCGCCUGUGACGAAGCGUGAGCGACGGUAAUGGGUAAAGAAGCACCGGCUAACUACGUG
This 468-nucleotide ribosomal RNA is filed under the name uncultured bacterium. RNAcentral's name for it is "partial 16S ribosomal RNA". It matches the Rfam family "Bacterial small subunit ribosomal RNA", at positions 28 to 507 of the family's 1533-position model. The record is from RNAcentral.